GUACACUUUAAACCCUUUAACGAGGAUCUAUUGGAGGGCAAGUCUGGUGCCAGCAGCCGCGGUAAUUCCAGCUCCAAUAGCGUAUAUUAAAGUUGUUGCAGUUAAAAAGCUCGUAGUUGGAUCUCGGGUCCAGGCCUGUGGUCCGCCGCAUGGCGGUUACUGCUCGU
Molecule: ribosomal RNA, 167 nt
Filed under: Brachidontes rodriguezii
Lineage: Eukaryota; Metazoa; Mollusca; Bivalvia; Mytilida; Mytilidae
Description: partial 18S ribosomal RNA
Rfam family: Eukaryotic small subunit ribosomal RNA
Source: RNAcentral